Molecule: transfer RNA, 73 nt
Filed under: Felis catus (domestic cat)
Lineage: Eukaryota; Metazoa; Chordata; Mammalia; Carnivora; Felidae
Rfam family: tRNA
About the family: Transfer RNA (tRNA) molecules are approximately 80 nucleotides in length.
Source: Rfam by way of RNAcentral
GCCUGGCUGGCUUAGUUGGGAGCGCGUGAGACUCUGGAUCUCAGGGUUGUGAGUUCGAGCCCCACGUUGGAUG